This is a non-coding RNA of Triticum aestivum (bread wheat), 121 nucleotides long. The record is from Rfam. Lineage: Eukaryota; Viridiplantae; Streptophyta; Magnoliopsida; Poales; Poaceae.
AUUCUACUCCCUCCGUCCGAAAAUACUUGUCGAAGAAAUGCAUAAAAAUGGAUGUAUCUAGAACUUACGUCUAGAUACAGCCAUUCCUCCAACAAGUAUUUCCAGAUGGAGGGAGUACUAC